CCUUAUACAUGCAAGUCGAACGGUAACAUUGGUGCUUGCACCAGAUGACGAGUGGCGCACGGGUGCGUAACGCGUAUGCAACCUACCUUUUACUAGAGUAUAGCCCAGAGAAAUUUGGAUUAAUCCUCUAUAAUAUCUUUUAAUUUCAUGAUUAAUUGAUUAAAGUUUUAACGGUAAAAGAUGGGCAUGCGUCCUAUUAGUUUGUAGGUGAGGUAACGGCUCACCUAGACUACGAUAGGUAGGGGCCCUGAGAGGGGGAUCCCCCACACUGGUACUGAGACACGGACCAGACUCCUACGGGAGGCAGCAGUAAGGAAUAUUGGACAAUGGACGAAAGUCUGAUCCAGCCAUGCCGCGUGCAGGAUGAAAGCCCUAUGGGUUGUAAACUGCUUUUAUACAGGAAGAAACACUCCGACUUGUCGGAGCUUGACGGUACUGUAAGAAUAAGGAUCGGCUAACUCCGUGCCAGCAGCCGCGGUAAUACGGAGGAUCCAAGCGUUAUCCGGAAUCAUUGGGUUUAAAGGGUCCGCAGGCGGUCUUUUAAGUCAGGGGUGAAAGCCUACAGCUCAACUGUAGAACGGCCUUUGAUACUGAAAGACUUGAGUUAUUGUGAAGUGGUUAGAAUGUGUGGUGUAGCGGUGAAAUGCAUAGAUAUCACACAGAAUACCGAUUGCGAAGGCAGAUCACUAACAAUAUACUGACGCUCAUGGACGAAAGCGUGGGGAGCGAACAGGAUUAGAUACCCUGGUAGUCCACGCCGUAAACGAUGGAUACUAGCUGUUCGUCUAACAUUGGUUAGAUGAGUGGCUAAGCGAAAGUGAUAAGUAUCCCACCUGGGGAGUACGGUCGCAAGACUGAAACUCA
This 864-nucleotide ribosomal RNA is filed under the name uncultured Bacteroidota bacterium. RNAcentral's name for it is "bacterial SSU rRNA". It matches the Rfam family "Bacterial small subunit ribosomal RNA", at positions 47 to 903 of the family's 1533-position model. Lineage: Bacteria; Pseudomonadati; Bacteroidota. The record is from RNAcentral.